Molecule: ribosomal RNA, 207 nt
Filed under: uncultured bacterium
Lineage: Bacteria
Description: partial 16S ribosomal RNA
Rfam family: Bacterial small subunit ribosomal RNA
Source: RNAcentral
CGCGUAGGCGGCCGGGCAAGUCGGAGGUGAAAGCCCUCGGCUCAACCGAGGAAUUGCCUCUGAUACUGCCUGGCUUGAGUCCCGGAGAGGGUAGCGGAAUUCCCAGUGUAGCGGUGAAAUGCGUAGAUAUUGGGAGGAACAUCGGUGGCGAAGGCGGCUACCUGGACGGGUACUGACGCUGAGGCGCGAAAGCGUGGGGAGCAAACA